CAGCAGCCACGGUAAUACGUAGGUGGCAAGCGUUGUCCGGAAUUAUUGGGCGUAAAGGGCUCGCAGGCGGUUCCUUAAGUCUGAUGUGAAAGCCCCCGGCUCAACCGGGGAGGGUCAUUGGAAACUGGGAAACUUGAGUGCAGAAGAGGAGAGUGGAAUUCCACGUGUAGCGGUGAAAUGCGUAGAGAUGUGGAGGAACACCAGUGGCGAAGGCGACUCUCUGGUCUGUAACUGACGCUGAGGAGCGAAAGCGUGGGGAGCGAACAGGAUUAGAUACCCGCGUAGUCCCUGUCUCUUAUAA
RNAcentral lists this ribosomal RNA (301 nucleotides) under uncultured bacterium. RNAcentral's name for it is "partial 16S ribosomal RNA". It matches the Rfam family "Bacterial small subunit ribosomal RNA", at positions 509 to 809 of the family's 1533-position model. The record is from RNAcentral.